RNAcentral lists this ribosomal RNA (510 nucleotides) under uncultured bacterium. RNAcentral describes it as "bacterial SSU rRNA". It matches the Rfam family "Bacterial small subunit ribosomal RNA", at positions 8 to 526 of the family's 1533-position model. The record is from RNAcentral.
AGAGUUUGAUCAUGGCUCAGAAUCAACGCUGGCGGCAUGCCUAACACAUGCAAGUCGAGCGAGAAAGUGUAGCAAUACAUGAGUAAAGCGGCGCACGGGUGAGUAACACGUGGAUAACCUGCCUCAAAGUGGGGAAUAACACCGGGAAACCGGUGCUAAUACCGCAUAUUCUGACGAGAUCUGCGGAUUUUGUCAGGAAAGGAGCAAUUCGCUAUGAGAGGGGUCCGCGGCUGAUUAGCUAGUUGGUGGGGUAAUGGCUCACCAAGGCCACGAUCAGUAGCCGGUCUGAGAGGACGGUCGGCCACACUGGAACUGAGACACGGUCCAGACUCCUACGGGAGGCAGCAGUGGGGAAUUUUUCGCAAUGGGGGCAACCCUGACGAAGCAAUGCCGCGUGGAUGAUGAAGUAUCUCGGUACGUAAAAUCCUUUCGACGGGGACGAAACCGCAAGGUUGACGGUACCCGUAGAAGAAGCCCCGGCUAACUCCGUGCCAGCCGCCGCGGUAAUAC